This 468-nucleotide ribosomal RNA is filed under the name uncultured bacterium. RNAcentral describes it as "partial 16S ribosomal RNA". It matches the Rfam family "Bacterial small subunit ribosomal RNA", at positions 28 to 507 of the family's 1533-position model. The record is from RNAcentral.
GACGAACGCUGGCGGCGUGCUUAACACAUGCAAGUCGAACGGAAAGGCCCUGCUUUUGUGGGGUGCUCGAGUGGCGAACGGGUGAGUAACACGUGAGUAACCUGCCCUUGACUUUGGGAUAACUUCAGGAAACUGGGGCUAAUACCGGAUAGGAGCUCCUGCUGCAUGGUGGGGGUUGGAAAGUUUCGGCGGUUGGGGAUGGACUCGCGGCUUAUCAGCUUGUUGGUGGGGUAGUGGCUUACCAAGGCUUUGACGGGUAGCCGGCCUGGGAGGGUGACCGGCCAAAUUGGGACUGAGAUGCGGCCCAGACUCCUACGGGAGGCAGCAGUGGGGAAUAUUGCACAAUGGGCGGAAGCCUGAUGCAGCAACGCCGCGUGCGGGAUGACGGCCUUCGGGUUGUAAACCGCUUUCGCCUGUGACGAAGCGUGAGUGACGGUAAUGGGUAAAGAAGCACCGGCUAACUACGUG